RNAcentral lists this ribosomal RNA (735 nucleotides) under Triticum aestivum (bread wheat). Its description in RNAcentral is "partial small subunit ribosomal RNA". Lineage: Eukaryota; Viridiplantae; Streptophyta; Magnoliopsida; Poales; Poaceae. The record is from RNAcentral.
AUGGCCAAUUGGCAGGGUUUGCUGAAGGUGAGGCCGGACAAGACGGUGGAGCUGCUGACGGACGCGGCGGAGGGCCUCAAGUUCGCCCUGACGGACGGCGUGGACAUCGCCGCCGACGGCACCAUCUACUUCACCGACGCCUCGUACAAGUACAGCCUCGCGCACCACUUUCUGGACGUGCUCGAGGCACGGCCCCACGGCCGGCUCAUGAGCUUCGACCCCUCCACGCGCCGGACCUCCGUGCUCGCCCGCGACCUCUACUUCGCCAACGGCGUCGCCGUCGCGCCGGACCAAGACUCACUCAUCUUCUGUGAGACAGUCAUGAGGAGGUGCUCGCGGUACCACAUCAGGGGGAACAAGGCAGGCACGGUGGAGAGCUUCAUCGACAGCCUGCCGGGGCUCCCGGACAACAUCCGAUACGACGGCGAGCAGGGCCGGUACUGGAUCGCGCUCUCGGCGGGGAGGACGCUGCAGUUGGACGUGUUGAUGUGGUCGCCAUUGGUGCGGAAGCUCGUGUACAUGGUGGAGAAGUACGUGAUGGCGGUGCCGCAGGGCCUGAGGGACUCGGGGACGAUGAGCGUGGCUCUAAACGGGGAGCCGGUAACCAUGUACACUGACCCGGGGCUCGCGCUCGCCACCGGCUGGCUCAAGGUCGGGGGCUACCUCUACUACGGGUCGCUGGCAAGCUCCUACAUCAGCAGGGUCGACCUCACCAAAUCAUCCAUCCAAGCCUAG